UCCACGCCGUAAACGAUGAUCACUAGAUGUGAGUCUUGUUUUUCAGGAUUCGUAUCGUAGCUAACGCGUUAAGUGAUCCGCCUGGGGAGUACGGUCGCAAGAUUAAAACUCAAAGGAAUUGACGGGGGUCCGCACAAGCGGUGGAACAUGUGGUUUAAUUCGACACUACGCGAGGAACCUUACCUAGGUUUGACAUGUAAUCGCUAUCCGCCGAAAUGCGGAGUUUCAAGUUU
This 233-nucleotide ribosomal RNA is filed under the name uncultured bacterium. RNAcentral's name for it is "partial 16S ribosomal RNA". It matches the Rfam family "Bacterial small subunit ribosomal RNA", at positions 794 to 1023 of the family's 1533-position model. The record is from RNAcentral.